This 82-nucleotide transfer RNA is filed under the name Perkinsus marinus ATCC 50983. RNAcentral describes it as "tRNA-Leu". It matches the Rfam family "tRNA". From Rfam's summary of the family: Transfer RNA (tRNA) molecules are approximately 80 nucleotides in length. Their secondary structure includes four short double-helical elements and three loops (D, anti-codon, and T loops). Lineage: Eukaryota; Perkinsozoa; Perkinsida; Perkinsidae. The record is from RNAcentral.
GACCGCGUGUCUGAGUGGUUAAGGAGAUGGACUUAAAAACCACUAGGCUAUGCCUGCGCAGGUUCGAAUCCUUCGGUUGUCG